GCCAGACCUAUGUACCAGCUCCAGGGUGGUCCUCUUAGCCCCCUUCUGACUUCAUUUUUCUGCAAGAAGUAGUUACUUUUGAGGCCACUGGGUUUUUGUCUGUGUUUGGAGUCUUCAUUAUCUUCCCCGCAGUCCUCUUCCACUUCAUCAACAAGAAGCUCUGCUUUGAAAAGAGAGGUGGACUCCCAUGUCUGGAACAACAAGGGAGAAGAAAACACUACAAAGAAAAGCCCAGAGUUCAUGAGGGCCUUGUGACAAAAGAAGUGCAUCUUUCUAAAACAGUGAUGUGAUAAAGAUGUCUUCUGAUCUUUGCAAGCUGGGAGCUGAUUUCCUCUUCUCGUGUCUCUAUAUGGGACGGUACAUUCCCAGGCAGAGAGGUGAGGCUUCGGAUUUCUUCCUCAUCUAGUGUUUUGGAAAUAAGCACUUGCUUGAAAAUUCUUCAGUUAUAUACU
Molecule: long non-coding RNA, 452 nt
Filed under: Athene cunicularia (burrowing owl)
Lineage: Eukaryota; Metazoa; Chordata; Aves; Strigiformes; Strigidae
Description: lncRNA (ENSACUG00000003150.1)
Source: RNAcentral